RNAcentral lists this ribosomal RNA (278 nucleotides) under uncultured Clostridia bacterium. RNAcentral's name for it is "partial 16S ribosomal RNA". It matches the Rfam family "Bacterial small subunit ribosomal RNA", at positions 511 to 788 of the family's 1533-position model. The record is from RNAcentral. Lineage: Bacteria; Bacillati; Bacillota; Clostridia.
GCAGCCGCGGUAAUACAUAGGGGGCAAGCGUUAUCCGGAAUUAUUGGGUGUAAAGGGUGCGUAGACGGGAAAAUAAGUUAGUUGUGAAAUCCCACGGCUCAACUGUGGAACUGCAACUAAAACUGUUUUUCUUGAGUAUCGGAGAGGAAAGUGGAAUUCCUAGUGUAGCGGUGAAAUGCGUAGAUAUUAGGAGGAACACCAGUGGCGAAGGCGACUUUCUGGACGAAAACUGACGUUGAGGCACGAAAGUGUGGGGAGCAAACAGGAUUAGAUACCCC